This 266-nucleotide unclassified non-coding RNA is filed under the name uncultured fungus. RNAcentral describes it as "partial contains 5.8S ribosomal RNA, internal transcribed spacer 2, and large subunit ribosomal RNA". The stretch from base 1 to 52 matches the Rfam family "5.8S ribosomal RNA", at positions 103 to 154 of the family's 154-position model. The record is from RNAcentral. Lineage: Eukaryota; Fungi.
AACGCACAUUGCGCCUCCUGGUAUUCCGGGAGGCAUGCCUGUCUGAGCGUCAUUAAGACCUCCUCAAGCGCUUUGGUGACACUGGGCUUGGUAUUGGGGUUGGACUGACUUCUGUCUCUCCUCCCCGAAAUCCAUUGGCGGAGACCACACUGCACUGGACGUAGUAAGUCAUUCUCGUUGAGUAGUUAGUGUGAGCUUUCUUGCCGUUAACCCCCAACUUUUAACUGGUUGGCCUCAGAUCAGGUAGGGAUACCCGCUGAACUUAA